CGUGCACUGGUGGGGUCCCUCUGCCUGGCCUGCACGCUCUCACAGUCUGGGACUCCUCAGGGAAUUUCAGAGAGCCUGUUUAGGCCUGAUCCUUGCAGGCCAGGCCGAGGGGCCCCACCAGUGCACA
This 127-nucleotide microRNA precursor is filed under the name Myotis davidii. Its description in RNAcentral is "mir-9193 microRNA precursor family". It matches the Rfam family "mir-9193 microRNA precursor family". The record is from Rfam by way of RNAcentral. Lineage: Eukaryota; Metazoa; Chordata; Mammalia; Chiroptera; Vespertilionidae.